RNAcentral lists this non-coding RNA (175 nucleotides) under bovine gut metagenome. The record is from RNAcentral.
AAUUAGGUUCCACCCAUGCAAAAACGGGUGGCCAAGAGGGAAUCACGUGCAAAUCGUGAGCUGUCGCGCAACUGUAAAUCACACCCAAGACUCCGCCGGCGUUACACCAUUGGACACAGUCAACGUCUGAGAAGGUGCCGGGAGGAGGGUGAAAGCCAGGAUACCUGCCUAUUUG